CGCAGAUAUUGAUUGUGCUUUUUAUGGCGAUCGGCAGUACUAUAAAUCACCUUCAGUACCUGUGAGUUAACACGCAAUUUGUAAUUUGAGGUAAUAGAAAUAUGGCAACAGGUACAGUAAAGUGGUUUAACGACAGCAAGGGUUUCGGCUUCAUUACACCUGCUGAUGGCGGCGACGAUGUGUUCGUGCAUUUCUCAGCCAUUCAGGGAGACGGAUUCAAAUCCCUGGCUGAAGGUCAGAAGGUCUCUUUUGAAACCGAGAAAGGUGCCAAAGGCAUUCAGGCCACCAACGUAACCCCGGCUGAAUAAGCACAACACUCCGGUGUAAAAAGAAAGCCCGCUUCGUGCGGGCUUUUUCUA
This 359-nucleotide small RNA is filed under the name Tenderia electrophaga (SeqCode). Its description in RNAcentral is "Candidatus Tenderia electrophaga cspA thermoregulator". It matches the Rfam family "cspA thermoregulator", at positions 61 to 428 of the family's 428-position model. The record is from Rfam by way of RNAcentral. Lineage: Bacteria; Pseudomonadati; Pseudomonadota; Gammaproteobacteria; Tenderiales (SeqCode); Tenderiaceae (SeqCode).